RNAcentral lists this ribosomal RNA (358 nucleotides) under Eggerelloides sp. RNAcentral's name for it is "SSU rRNA". It matches the Rfam family "Eukaryotic small subunit ribosomal RNA", at positions 1178 to 1411 of the family's 1831-position model. The record is from RNAcentral. Lineage: Eukaryota; Foraminifera; Textulariida; Eggerellidae.
GGAGCAUGUGGCUUAAUUUGACUCAACGCGGGAAAUCUUACCGGGUCCGGACACACUGAGGAUUGACAGGCAAUAAAUUAAAAUAUAUUAUAUAUUUUAUGUUAAAUAUGCUAGUCCUUUCAUGAUUAUGUGAUAGGUGGUGCAUGGCCGUUCUUAGUUCGUGGAGUGAUCUGUCUGCUUAAUUGCGUUUCACUAAGGGCUUAUUAAUUUAACGUGUGUUGUUAGGCGUUAACUUUGACCCCUAAUUUUAAUAAAAUUAGUGCGUGUCUUAGUUUUUAUUGCUUUUAACUCACACAAUUAAGUCCUGAAAGCAACGAACGUGACCGCAACCUCUUGUUGCCUUUAUAUUUUUUUAUUU